UGUACGUCAGUUCUGUCUUAAAUUUAGAAUUUUAUCAGUCUUUGCUGGUUGAAGACAGGAACAGUAGAAGUGGAUUGGUCAAUACUUUUUAAUUCAAGCAAAACGGCGCAAUUGGCUGCAUAUCUUACCUUGGUACCAGAGUCCAUCUUGAGUUUACAUGAGUACAUCACAGCAGGACCCUGGUACCCAACACCACUCCACUGCUGGCAGAUGUCAACAUGCUAAAUGGACGGUCCUCCACAGACUGCCUCAGUGAGAACUCAGUCUGCGGCGGUCAAGAAGUUCAGAUCAGUCAGUACACAGUUGUGCAGGGGAACACUCAAGGAAGGACACAUGAGAAGCAAAGACCUCUAGGCAAGGGUCUCUUCUCACAGUGUUGGCACUGAAACAACUUCCUACCAUCCAGUUUUACCACUGACCUCAACACCAAUAAAGGGCCCAGGAUUGUGGCCUAUCAAGAGACCACGGGUGGAGUUGGAGUAGGAAGAAGAACAAGACAGUUCUACCUAACUCCUCUUGACCUGAGUUACGACCCUGGGCUUACAGAGCAAUCUGACAUAUCGGCACCCAGCAAAGUUUGGGAGCUACACUCUGAUGCACCUGGAGAGCAACACCAUUAUGGACCUCCAGCUUGUUCAGAGCAAUGGAGUAGGUGGUAGUUACCACAUGGAGAAGGAGGGACUUAAAAGAUGCCUUGAUCUUCAGGAAUCAAAACAUUUGGCGGUUGAGGACACCGUUACUGAUCAUCAUCCACAGAUACAGAAGUUUCUGAGAGAACGCGAGAUAAUACAGUUAUAUGACGUGUGGCAAAAAGGUCUGUCCAAGAAACUUAAAAGAGUUUCACAGACCAGGGACUGUGAGGUGUUGAAGAG
Molecule: long non-coding RNA, 872 nt
Organism: Seriola dumerili (greater amberjack)
Lineage: Eukaryota; Metazoa; Chordata; Actinopteri; Carangiformes; Carangidae
Exons: 6
Source: RefSeq, a predicted model, not a curated record